AACGAACGCUGGCGGCGCGCCUAAUACAUGCAAGUCGAGCGAGAAGACGUAGCAAUACGUUUGUAAAGCGGCGAACGGGUGAGGAAUACAUGGGUAACCUACCCUCGAGUGGGGAAUAACUAGCCGAAAGGUUAGCUAAUACCGCGUACGCUCCUCGGACUUCGGUUCAGGGAGGAAAGCGAUACCGUGGGUAUCGCGCUCUUGGAUGGGCUCAUGUCCUAUCAGCUUGUUGGUGAGGUAACGGCUCACCAAGGCUUCGACGGGUAGCUGGUCUGAGAGGACGAUCAGCCACACUGGCACUGCGACACGGGCCAGACUCCUACGGGAGGCAGCAGUAAGGAAUAUUGCGCAAUGGGCGAAAGCCUGACGCAGCGACGCCGCGUGGGGGAUGAAGGUCUUCGGAUUGUAAACCCCUUUCGGGAGGGAAGAUGGACGAGCAUCGUUCGGACGGUACCUCCAGAAGCAGCCACGGCUAACUUCGUGCCAGCCGCCGCCGUAA
Molecule: ribosomal RNA, 499 nt
Filed under: uncultured bacterium
Lineage: Bacteria
Description: bacterial SSU rRNA
Rfam family: Bacterial small subunit ribosomal RNA
Source: RNAcentral